Non-coding RNA from Eucalyptus grandis, 72 nucleotides. The record is from Rfam. Lineage: Eukaryota; Viridiplantae; Streptophyta; Magnoliopsida; Myrtales; Myrtaceae.
CGGAAUAUAACUUAACGGUAGAGUGUCACCUUGACAUAGUGGAAGUCAUCAAUUCGAGCUUGAUUGUCCCUA